Molecule: ribosomal RNA, 460 nt
Filed under: uncultured bacterium
Lineage: Bacteria
Description: partial 16S ribosomal RNA
Rfam family: Bacterial small subunit ribosomal RNA
Source: RNAcentral
CCUACGGGGGGUAGCAGUGAGGAAUAUUGGUCAAUGGACGAGAGUCUGAACCAGCCAAGUAGCGUGAAGGAUGACUGCCCUAUGGGUUGUAAACUUCUUUUAUAUGGGAAUAAAAUGUUCCACGUGUGGGAUUUUGUAUGUACCAUAUGAAUAAGGAUCGGCUAACUCCGUGCCAGCAGCCGCGGUAAUACGGAGGAUCCGAGCGUUAUCCGGAUUUAUUGGGUUUAAAGGGAGCGUAGGUGGAUUGUUAAGUCAGUUGUGAAAGUUUGCGGAUCAACCGUAAAAUUGCAGUUGAAACUGGCAGUCUUGAGUACAGUAGAGGUGGGCGGAAUUCGUGGUGUAGCGGUGAAAUGCUUAGAUAUCACGAAGAACUCCGAUUGCGAAGGCAGUUCACUGGACUGCAACUGACACUGAGGCUCGAAAGUGUGGGUAUCAAACAGGAUUAGAUACCCCAGUAGUC